Molecule: non-coding RNA, 4112 nt
Organism: Salmo salar (Atlantic salmon)
Lineage: Eukaryota; Metazoa; Chordata; Actinopteri; Salmoniformes; Salmonidae
Source: RefSeq, a predicted model, not a curated record
GAUUUUGAUUGGUUCUGUACUGAACCUACGCAAAAUCUUAGCUGCGAUAAGCUAUACAGAAUUUAAAAGCCUACCUAAAUGUUCACACGUUUUCCGAAGCGCAGGGCAGGGGUUGUUAGUGGAGGAACCUUUUCCCAUCUAUCUUGACUUCACCUUUUUGUACCGUUUUCAACAUUAAUCAAGAUGGCCCAGUGGUUCCAGCUGCAGAAAUUAGACUCCAAGUACCUGGAGCAGGUGGACCAGCUGUAUGAUGAUACUUUCCCUAUGGAGAUCCGCCAGUACCUCAGUGCCUGGAUAGAGAGCCAUGACUGGGACACGGUGGCAGCCAGCGUUUCCCUGGCGACGGUCCGUUUCCAUGACCUCUUGGGCCAGUUGGACGACCAGUACAGCCGCUUCUCCCUGGAGAACAACUUCCUGUUGCAACACAAUGUACGCAAGAUUAAACGCAAACUGCAGGACCACUUUCAGGAGGACCCUUUGCACAUGGCCAUGACUAUAUGUAAAUGUCUGAAAGAGGAGAAGAAAAUCCUGGCCGCCUUAAAAAAAGAGGAAAACGUUUGGUCCACACAAAUCAACGUGGUGUUGGAGAAACAGAAAGAGUUGGACAACAAAGUCAAAGACCUGAGAAAUCAAGUACAGGAUGCAGAGCAGAAAAUGAAGUCACUGGAGGACCUACAGGAUGAUCAUGACUUUAAGAAGAAGGCCCUGCAAAGCCGAGUGGAACAAGAGGUAAAUGGGAUGACACCGGUGGUACAGAAAGAGAUCCGUGAAGAGGAGAUGGUCAUCAGAGCGAUGUUCAUCAAACUCAACAUAACCAGAGAGGUGGUGGUGCAUCAGAUAACUGACAUCCUGAACUUGGCCGAGCAGAUUCAGUGCACCCUGGUGAUGGAGGAGAUACCUGAGUGGAAGCACAGACAGCAGAUUGCGUGUAUCGGUGGUCCACCUAAUGCCUGCCUAGACCAGCUACAAACCUGGUUCACUGCGGUGGCAGAGGGCUUACAGCAGGUACGACAGCAGCUGAAGAAGCUUCAGGAGCUGGAACAAAAGUACACGUACGAGAACGACCCCAUCACUCAGGGCAAAAGCACUCUGGAGGAACGCGCUCUCGCCCUGUUCAAGACCCUCAUUGUCAAUUCUAUCGUGGUGGAGAGACAGCCCUGUAUGCCCACUCACCCCCAAAGACCUCUGGUGCUGAAGACUGGGGUGCAGUUCACUGUCAAAAUCAGACUGCUGGUGAAGCUUCAGGAGUUCAACUACCAGUUCAAAGUCAAAGCUCUGUUUGACAAGGACGUGACUGAGAGGAAUACAGUGAGAGGGUUCCGGAAAUUCAACAUCUUUGGAACUAAUUCUAAGGUUAUGAACAUGGAGGAGUCCAAUGGGAGCUUGGCAGCAGAAUUCAGACACCUGCAACUAAAGGAGCAAAAGGUUACAGGCAACAGAACAAACGACGGUCCUCUCAUAGUGACAGAGGAGCUCCACUCCAUCAGCUUUGAGACACAACUCACUCACCCAGGACUCCAGGUCAACCUGGAGACGACGUCCCUGCCCAUUGUGGUCAUCUCCAACAUUAGCCAGCUGCCCAGAGCCUGGGCCUCUGUCAUGUGGUACAACAUGCUGACCAGUGAGUCCAAGAAUCUGUCGUUCUUCCUGAGCCCUCCCCAGGCCACCUGGAGCCUGUUGUCGAAGGUGCUGAGCUGGCAGUUCUCCUCCGUAACCAAGCGAGGCCUCAACGACGAGCAGCUGAGCAUGCUGGGAGACAAGCUCCUGGGUCGAGAGGCUGUAGGAAAUCCUAAUGGGCUCAUCCCCUGGACAAGAUUCUGCAAGAAUGUGAAUGAGAAGAGCUUUCCAUUCUGGCUGUGGAUCGAUGGAAUCCUGGACCUGAUCAAGAGACACCUCCUGUGUUUGUGGAAUGACGGGUGUAUCAUGGGCUUUGUCAGUAAGGAGAGAGAGAAGGCCCUGCUGAAGGACAAGGAGCCUGGGACUUUCCUACUGCGUUUCAGCGAGAGCAGCCAGGAGGGUGCCGUCACCUUUACCUGGGUAGAGCACCGCAAUGACGGCGUCCAUUUCCACACGGUGGAGCCCUACACUAAGAAGGAGCUGGCCGCCGUCUCCUUCGCUGACAUCCUCCACAACUUCAAGGUGAUGGCUGCUGAGAACAUCCCUGAGAACCCUCUGGUCUACCUCUACCCCAGGAUCCCCAAAGACAGCGCCUUAGCACGCUACUACAGCCACCCCACAGAAGCUGCUGAGCCAAUGGAGUUGGAGAGUGAGUCUGAUGCUGUUUACGUUAAGAGGGAGCUUAUCUCUGUGUCUGAAUUUUGAUAUUUUCUGCUGGUUGGGCUUCUCCUCGGCCACUCCAGACUACAGGACACCAUGAUCCCCAUGAGUCCUGAAGUGUACGGAGAGCUGACCAGGAUUAUUAACCCUGCUGAGAUGGAUACUGUGAUGUGCAAAGCUUUCCCAAACUAACCUGCCCUCUUCAGGCAGCGCCCCUUGAAAGACGUGUUACCCCCCCGCACCGAACUGAUCUGAAGACAUCCCAGAAAAAGGAUGUUGAUUAAGUUGAAGAGAUUUGUUGGGUUUCCUUUGUAAAUACAACAGUCUGUCGUUUUAAUGUACAUGCAUGAGAUUUUGGGGCUUCAAGUCCAGCUGUUUGUAUUAAGGAAUGUCAUUCUGUGUGACUUGUGGGAGAGGAUAAUAUUUUGUGAAUGCAUAUCUAGUGUGUAAUAACUUCAGGUGAAAUGGUUAAGCUGUUAUACAGUGAGCUUCAAAGGUAUUGGGACAUUUUGACAUAUUUUUGUUGUUGUUUUAACUCUGUACACCAGCACCAUGGGUUUGAAAUGAUACAAUGAGAUUAAAGUGCAGUCUGUCAGCUUUAAUUCGAGGGUAUUGUCAUACAUAUCGAGGGAACCGUUUAGAAAUUACAACUCUUUUUGCACAUAGUCCCUCCAUUUUGGGGGACCAAAAGUUAAUGUGACAAAUUCCCUUACGUGAAUUUAAGUAGUGAAGUUUAGAAUUUGGUCCCAUAAUCCUAGCACGCAAUGACUCCAAGCGUGUGACUCUUCACACUUGUAUGCAUUUGCUGUUUGUUUGAUUAUUUUGUUCCCAAUAGAAAUGAAUGGUACAUGUUUAGACAUCACUGUUUUAAUUUAAGGACAAAGAGGGCUCAGACAUGCCUGAAUAGCUUUGCUUUAUUUAACCUUGUUUAUUAAAAUAAAUAUAUCAUAUAUAUAUAUGUGUAUAUAUUCCACUGCCAGGAGAAAUCGCACAUUUGCACAUCAAGUAUGCCCUAAAAUAUGAACAGAAAAGGAUAUCCGUGUUUAGCAAUACAUUCAGAACUGUCUUUAGUUGGAACUUUAGACUGGUCUGCAACUACUGGUGACACCUGACUUGAACCAUCUGUCCAUAUGAUCUACAGGGGUUCAAACUCAGGUCUCCUGCAAACCACAAUAUUGUGUUAGCCCUCUGAGCUAAAGCCUAGGCAGCAGACAAGUUAUCAGGUCACAGGCAAGGUUACCUUUCACUGAAUCACCAAUCCAUUACAACAGGCAUAGUAUAACAAUAGCAGAACCAAUGUCACAUUUUGAGACCUUUCCUGUACGUCACGGAUACGACAGUGUUAUGGAGGUGAUUGGUUGGAGGGUUCAAGUCUUGUGUUUCCCGGACUACGGGGAGUGGUGAAUGAGGUUGAAUUUCUGUGGCAACAUGUUCUGUUAUCGUUCUCAUUCUUUGGCUUUCACUUGAACAUUUUUCCAUACACAAUGUUACCGUCUCAGACGAACAGAUCUGGGGAGUUGCUGAAAACCCGGUAAUGUUGCCUUACAGAGACCAACAAGUAGUGGUAGAGAUGUUAUGUACAUAGAGGACAGGGUUUUCCAAUCCACUUGAUAUUCCAUCUGUGUAUUCAUUAUCUAUCUGGAUUAGAACGUUGCGUAAGGUUAUUGUGGUUACACUCCAUUGUGUCAAUGAAGCUGUUCUUUAUGCUACAUAGGUCUUAUGGGGAAAAUUACUACCACUGUUGUUCAUUUAUAAUUUGAUCUAUUGUACAGUAUUGCUUCAUGCGAUCUUAACAUUCGCAUCAAUUUAAAAAAUAAAAACAGGUUGUAAAUUGA